CGUCUUGCAGUAUCAGACGAUAUUUGUCUUCUUAGGAUGGUCUUGCCUCGUAGGAAGAGGAAGCAACUUUGUUGACAGUCAAACUUCAAUUUCCUGGGAACCAUUGGAGCCGCUUUUGUUCAACGAGGAUGUCAUUCUUAAGUGCAACAUUAAAGACUGUUGUCCAGAGGGAACACAGUGGACUGGUGGGAAAACCAAUUCACUUCUGACAUUAGGACGAGUGUCAAAUGAUAAAACCAAAUAUGAGGAGUUGUGGGGUGUGGAUGCUUCAUAUUUAAGAAUAAAGAAGUUUGGAUUAGAAGAUGGAGAUAGCUUGUAUACUUGCUUUCAUGGAUUUUCUAAACACUCAAAAAACCUCACAAUCAAUGGAAAUAACUUUGCGUUGAUGCCUACAGAGGAGAGUGUAAAAAAGAAUGUUACUGUAAUUGAUGGUUAUCUAAAUGCAAACGUUGAAUUUUUGGAAGUUUACCCUGAGCCAGUAUGUAACUGUACAUUUCAGAAAUUAGGCAUUACAGAACACAUAAAUGUAAGCAGUGAGUUUUUUUCAACAACAAGUUUUUUUUUAAAUGGCAAGAUACAUAUUGCCCAUCAAAUAUGCCAUGGAGAAUGUUUAGGAACCAUGCAGAUUGACUGCAGAAUCGGAAUACAUUCGUACAAAGUUUUAGAAGCAAUGGAAGAUAUACAGUUUAAAUGGCGUCCUAAAACAAAGACCACAGAGCAUGUUAUUAUAUGUACUGUUCUUGCAAUUGUACUGACUGUCUUUGCCGUUGUACUUGUCUUUAUACUGCGAAGAAAAU
Molecule: long non-coding RNA, 797 nt
Organism: Mytilus californianus (California mussel)
Lineage: Eukaryota; Metazoa; Mollusca; Bivalvia; Mytilida; Mytilidae
Exons: 5
Source: RefSeq, a predicted model, not a curated record